Molecule: ribosomal RNA, 775 nt
Filed under: uncultured Neocallimastigales
Lineage: Eukaryota; Fungi; Neocallimastigomycota; Neocallimastigomycetes; Neocallimastigales
Description: partial large subunit ribosomal RNA
Rfam family: Eukaryotic large subunit ribosomal RNA
Source: RNAcentral
CGCAUCUGUGCAUGCAGCAUAUCAAUAAGCGGAGGAAAAGAAACUAACAAGGAUUCCCCUAGUAACGGCGAGUGAAGCGGGAAGAGCUCAAAUUUGAAAUCUUAAAGGGUUUCCCUUUACGGAAUUGUAGUUUAAAGAGGUGUUUUCUGUUGAGGUUUUGGUAAAAGUUCUUUGGAAUAGGACAUCAUAGAGGGUGAGAAUCCCGUAUUUGACCUUUACUUUCAACUUUGUGAUACACUUUCAAAGAGUCGGAUUGUUUGGGAAUGCAGUCCAAAAUGGGUGGUAAAUUUCAUCUAAAGCUAAAUAUUGGCGAGAGACCGAUAGCGAACAAGUACCGUGAGGGAAAGAUGAAAAGAACUUUGAAAAGAGAGUUAAACAGUACGUGAAAUUGUCAAAAGGGAAGCGUUUGACACCAGUGUUGUUUUUCUGAAAAUCAAUUAAAGAACUGUUUAUGCUAAGUUGUUUAGACUUUAUCAGCUAACUGUUUAGUUUUGAGCUUUUCUUUAAUGCACUUUUCAGCUAACAAGUCAACAUCAAUUUCUUUUGCUGUAAAAAAGCUUGAGGAAGGUGGCUUGAGAUUCGUCUUAAGUGUUUAUAGCCUCUUGCCUAUGCAGUCGGAGAGAUUGAGGUCUGCAGCGUAGAUCCUUCGGGGCUAAAUGCAUUUGUGCUAAGUUAUAGCAUUUUAUAGACAACUUGUUGACUAUGAUUUGUCUUGUAGCUUACUCGCUUAUGUUAUUUUACCUACGCUUAGGAUGUUGACAGCAGUAUAGACUGU